RNAcentral lists this non-coding RNA (30 nucleotides) under Rattus norvegicus (Norway rat). Lineage: Eukaryota; Metazoa; Chordata; Mammalia; Rodentia; Muridae. The record is from RNAcentral.
UAGGAGUGUGAAGGUUGCCAAUAUAAGCAU